UACGUGUCAUCUUGCACAUGCGCAGAACGGAUUGUGCAGGUGGAACGGAUCGGGUACUGACACCCGCUUGGAAAGAACCAACGACAUUCCUCCUUGUCCUGCUGCGUGUUUUCUUCCCACGCCGUGUACAGCCUGAGCUCACUUGCCAUACCGGGAGUUACUGCAAGUUGGAGAAUGGAGGAGAAAACUCAGCAAAUGUUGCCACUGCCGCGGUUACUUUCCACCUCCCGCUCGUCUAAAAAGGCAAAGAAAAGAUGAAAAAAACGGUGACUAAAAGGCUGCAGAUAGAGGACAAACUAGAGUAGCUAAACAUUGGUAGCGUUUCAGCGAUGGAGACAGCUGGGUGUUAAAAGGCAUACAUAAGUGAAGCCGUCUUUCUGCAGGACAGGUCUGAGGAACUUUUACCUUCAGUGAGGAGUGGGAGGACUUUCUGCUGUUUGAGACUUCAGAGCCUCUAUCAGCUCAAAGUGAUGGACUUUGAGGAACACAGUGGGACAGCGAGGCUGAGUAGACUGGUUAUACUAUGGAUUGAGAAUGAACGAGAAGAGACGUUUGAUUGACACAGCAGAUUGUGGAGGACUUCGCGGGGCACUAGACUCACAGCAUGACAAUCAGACACGACAGAUGAACUGAUCCAGAAAACCAUACGGGACAAGUUCAGAGAAUGCACCGUCCUCACCAUCACUCAUCGUCUCAACACCAUCAUAGACAGCGACAGAAUACUUUUUACUUUUUUUAAAGCAUGGGGUUUACACUCAAGAUGUUUGCAACUGCUGCAUAACGUUACUUUCCUAUAGACACCGUUUUGGGAAGCAUGUGCAGAAAACAUAAGUAUUACGAUUAGGAUAGACCUUAGUUUAUCCCUAGUGGAGAAAUUCCAUUGUUGCAGCAGUACAACAGAAAUGAAUACAGGCAGAAAAGCAAUAGCUUCUCCAGAUUGAUACCUCUCAUGACCCUACAUUAAAUAUGGAGCUAGAGCCACGAGUCACUUAGUUUAGCAUAAAGACUGGAAGCACACAAACCGAUUUUUUUAUAGUUGCUGAAAGGUUUUGUGUCUCUAGGUUCUAGAUGCAGGGAAAAUUCAUGCCUAUGAUGAGCCUUAUACCCUGCUUCAAGAUCCAGAUGACAUCUUUUAUAAAAUGGUUCAGCAGACCGGCAAGCAGGAGGCAGCAGCUCUACUAGAGGCAGCUAAACA
Molecule: long non-coding RNA, 1195 nt
Organism: Perca fluviatilis (European perch)
Lineage: Eukaryota; Metazoa; Chordata; Actinopteri; Perciformes; Percidae
Exons: 3
Source: RefSeq, a predicted model, not a curated record